RNAcentral lists this ribosomal RNA (1425 nucleotides) under Fritziana goeldii (Goeldi's frog). RNAcentral describes it as "partial 16S ribosomal RNA". It matches the Rfam family "Bacterial large subunit ribosomal RNA", at positions 157 to 2603 of the family's 2925-position model. The record is from RNAcentral. Lineage: Eukaryota; Metazoa; Chordata; Amphibia; Anura; Hemiphractidae.
GCCAAAAACCUAGCCCCAAACUGCCUCCGGCCUCAACAAAUUACAACUAUGAACUAAAACAUUCAUUAAAUCUAGUAAAGGCGAUUGAAAAAUAAAUUGGCGCGAUAUAUCGAGUACCGCAAGGGAAAGGUGAAAUAUAAAUGAAAAUCUUCAAGCACAACAAAGCAGAGACUAUUCCUCGUACCUUUUGCAUCAUGGUUUAACUAGUCUACCCAAGCAAAAAGACUUAAAGUUUGACUUCCCGAAACUAAGCGAGCUACUUCAAGGCAGCCUAACGGGCGACCCCGUCUCUGUUGCAAAAGAGUGGAAAGACCUUCAAGUAGAAGCGACAUACCUAUCGAGCUUAGUGAUAGCUGGUUACUCAAGAAACGGACUUCAGUCCAACCUAAAGUUAAUUAAAUUACACAAAAUUCUACUAUGACUUUAGAGCAAUUCAAUUAAGGUACAGCCUAAUUGAAACAGGAUACAACCUCAACUAACGGGUUCUACGCCCAGUAAAACCAAAUCAAGUGGGCCUAAGAGCAGCCACCUUUCAAAAAGCGUCAAAGCUUAACCAUUUUCUACUUUAAUACCUAAUUACACACCCAACCCUUUUUCAGUAAUGAGUAAUUCUAUACUAUUAUAGAACUUUUUAUGUUAAAACUAGUAACAAGAAGAUGAACCUUCUCUUAAAUGCAAGCGUAAGCCAGAAAGGACACACCACCUGGUGAUUAACACCCAUGAGCUGUUAAUAGCAACACUAUAAAAAACCCCUAUUUAUCCACAUGUUAACCUAACACAAGAGCAUUAAAAGAAAGAUUAAAAGGAAAAGAAGGAACUCGGCAAAUUUCAACCCCGCCUGUUUACCAAAAACAUCGCCUCUUGAAUAAGUAUAAGAGGUCCAGCCUGCCCAGUGACUCUGUUCAACGGCCGCGGUAUUCUAACCGUGCAAAGGUAGCGUAAUCACUUGUCCUUUAAAUGGGGACUGGUAUGAACGGCACCACGAGGGUUGCACUGUCUCCUUUUCCCAAUCAGUGAAACUGAUCUCCCCGUGAAGAAGCGGGGAUAUCAAUAUAAGACGAAAAGACCCUAUGGAGCUUUAAACAAAAUGACAAUCGCCAUCUUUAUCUAACUUCCAGAAUACCUGCCUCUAUUCUAGCGACAUGAUCAUUAGUUUUAGGUUGGGGUGACCACGGAGUAUAAACCAACCUCCGUAUUGAGGGCUUUCCCCCAAGCAAAAAGCCACAACUUUAUGCAUCAAUAAAUUGACAUCAAUUGACCCAAUAUUUUGACCAAUGAACCAAGUUACCCUAGGGAUAACAGCGCAAUCCAUUUCGAAAGCCCCUAUCGACAAAUGGGUUUACGACCUCGAUGUUGGAUCAGGGUAUCCUAGUGGUGCAGUCGCUACUAAAGGUUCGUUUGUUCAACGACUAAGACCCUACGUGA